GCCUGCCCUUUGCUGUGCUUUCCUUAAAUCACACAGAUUUCCAGGAAGCUCGUUGGAACCUCUGGAGAAGGGCAGGAAGUAUAAACAGUACACAGCGGAGCUGUGGAGGCGGCAGCUGGGACCCCAGCACCUAGAUUCUCUCUCCCAAAGCCUUUUUGCCUUUGUGACCUAGACCAAGGCCUGGUUUCUCUGGGUGUCAGUUUUCUCAUCUAUAAAAAUGAAAAUCCUACGGGGGCAGCAGUGGUGCAUGCCUUUAAUCCCAGUGUAUGGGAGAUCUUUGUGAGUUCGAAGCCAUCCUGGUGUGCAGAAGCUCUCCUCAUGGCUGAAGCUACUCAUGGAUGGUGGUCACUGGUGAGCUCGGGAAGGGUCCUGUCCUAGGCAACAGGAAACAUCUAUUUAAGAAUAAUCCAACCUCAUCCGUGGCUACAAAGGAGUUUGAGGCCAGCUGGGCAACAUGAAACCCUGUCUUAGAAAACAGAACAGUCGUGGCUGGAGCGAUGCGAUGCCUCAGCAGCUAAGUGUAUUGGAAUCAGGCACCUCCACCGCCCACUCCAGGGACCCAGCGACAGUAAGAUGAGUCCUCACUACCUGCCAAGAUGUGACACAUUCCUACUGUCCCCGUCACAACAUUGGUGCUGAGUGACUCUGAAGGCUCUGCUGGUGCUGGAGCUCCUUCCUCUCUGUGGGCUGAAACCACACACCAGGGCCCUAUUCCCAGUCCACCUGCAACAGGCGCUCCAUGCGAACCUGG
This is a long non-coding RNA of Apodemus sylvaticus (European woodmouse), 751 nucleotides long. RefSeq lists it as uncharacterized. The transcript has 4 exons. NCBI's taxonomy places the organism in Eukaryota, Metazoa, Chordata, Mammalia, Rodentia, Muridae. The record is from RefSeq and is a predicted model, not a curated record.